Molecule: ribosomal RNA, 497 nt
Filed under: uncultured bacterium
Lineage: Bacteria
Description: partial 16S ribosomal RNA
Rfam family: Bacterial small subunit ribosomal RNA
Source: RNAcentral
GAUGAACGCUGGCGGCGUGCCUAAUACAUGCAAGUCGAGCGAACAGACGAGGAGCUUGCUCCUCUGACGUUAGCGGCGGACGGGUGAGUAACACGUGGAUAACCUACCUAUAAGACUGGGAACACUUCGGGAAACCGGAUCUAAUACCGGAUAAUAUAUGGAACCGCAUGGACCAAUAGUGAAAGACGGUUUUGCUGUCACAUAUAGAUGGAUCCGCGCCGCAUUAGCUAGUUGGUAAGGUAACGGCUUACCACGGCCACGAUGCGUAGCCGACCUGAGAGGGUGAUCGGCCACACUGUAUCUGAGACACGGUCCAGACUCCUACGGGGGGCAGCAGUAGGGAAUCUUCCGCAAUGGGCGAAAGCCUGACGGAGCAACGCCGCGUGAGUGAUGAAGGUCUUCGGAUCGUAAAACUCUGUUAUUAGGGGGGAACAAAUGUGUAAUUAACUAUGCACGUCUUGACGGUACCUAAUCAGAAAGCCACGGCUAACUACGUG